GCGUUAUAAAUCUCAAUGAUACAAAGAACCUCAAACUUCGAAUCUGAAGGUCGGGGGUUCGAAUCCCUCAAGGCGCGCCA
RNAcentral lists this transfer RNA (80 nucleotides) under Alkaliphilus metalliredigens QYMF. RNAcentral describes it as "tRNA-Arg-TCG-2-1". Lineage: Bacteria; Bacillati; Bacillota; Clostridia; Peptostreptococcales; Natronincolaceae. The record is from RNAcentral.